GGGGGGGGGGGGGGGGGGGGGGGGGGGGGGGGGGGCGGGGGGGGGGUGCGGGGGUGGCGGCGGGCGGGGGAGUAGCGCGGGGGAAUGUGCCCGUCUCUACGGAGUAGCCCUGGGAAACGGGGGGUAAUACCGGAGACGCCCUAUUGGGGAAAGAUUUAUCGGAGAAGGAUCAGCCCGCGUUGGAUUAGGUAGUUGGUGGGGUAAUGGCCUACCAAGCCGACGAUCCAUAGCUGGUUUGAGAGGAUGAUCAGCCACACUGGGACUGAGACACGGCCCAGACUCCUACGGGAGGCAGCAGUGGGGAAUCUUAGACAAUGGGGGCAACCCUGAUCUAGCCAUGCCGCGUGAGUGAUGAAGGCCUUAGGGUUGUAAAGCUCUUUCAGCUGGGAAGAUAAUGACGGUACCAGCAGAAGAAGCCCCGGCUAACUCCGUG
RNAcentral lists this ribosomal RNA (433 nucleotides) under uncultured bacterium. RNAcentral describes it as "partial 16S ribosomal RNA". It matches the Rfam family "Bacterial small subunit ribosomal RNA", at positions 39 to 507 of the family's 1533-position model. The record is from RNAcentral.